RNAcentral lists this transfer RNA (72 nucleotides) under Merops nubicus (carmine bee-eater). It matches the Rfam family "tRNA". Rfam says of the family: Transfer RNA (tRNA) molecules are approximately 80 nucleotides in length. Their secondary structure includes four short double-helical elements and three loops (D, anti-codon, and T loops). The record is from Rfam by way of RNAcentral. Lineage: Eukaryota; Metazoa; Chordata; Aves; Coraciiformes; Meropidae.
GCUGUGAUCGUACAGUGGCUAGUACUCUGCGUUGGGGCUGCAACAGCCUCGGUUCAAACCCUAGACACGGCA